UCGAAGAGAGAAUUCCUCGGGGUUUCCAAGAACGGACGCCGGCCGACAAGGGGGGAACGCCGAAGCCGAGCUGGGGAAACCACGCGAAACAGCUAGAGAUCGUCGCUGAAAAAUGGGGGAUGCGUGAUCGCAGAGAGCGUCGAGAAAUCGGAGUUCAGCGGGAGAAAUCAGAGGUGUUUUGGGGCUUCUGGCGCGAGCGGCGUGGGUCACGAGCAGGGACGUCGGGCAACGGCCGGUCACGAGCAGGGACUUCUGGCUAUUCGCGAAUGCGGGCGUCGAGGCUCGAGCGACGUCGGGGACUGGCGUCCAGCGGCGUUCGGCGACAGUGGCCGGCGGUGCGGCGCUGAGCAGAGCGACGGGCGUCGAGCGGCGUUCGGCGACGGUGGCCGGCGCUGAGGAGUGAGCAGGGAUGUCAAUCGGGUCUUCAGGGCAACGACGACUCAAGUGUCGCGAAUGCGGGCGUCGAGCGACGUCGGGGACUGGCGUCCAGUCCAGACCAGUGGCGUCCGGCGGCGGUGGCCUUGAGGGCGAGCGGCGUCCAGCUGAAAUCGGAGGACUGAGUGAGGAAGAUACAGAGGACAGGAGGCCGCUGGAGACUUGGAGUUGGAGCGCCGAG
This 616-nucleotide long non-coding RNA is filed under the name Eucalyptus grandis. RNAcentral's name for it is "long non-coding RNA (EGRA_LNC005360)". The record is from RNAcentral. Lineage: Eukaryota; Viridiplantae; Streptophyta; Magnoliopsida; Myrtales; Myrtaceae.